UGGGGAAUUUUGGACAAUGGGCGAAAGCCUGAUCCAGCAAUGCCGCGUGUGUGAAGAAGGCCUUCGGGUUGUAAAGCACUUUUGUCCGGAAAGAAAUCCUUGGCUCUAAUACAGUCGGGGGAUGACGGUACCGGAAGAAUAAGCACCGGCUAACUACGUGCCAGCAGCCGCGGUAAUACGUAGGGUGCAAGCGUUAAUCGGAAUUAUUGGGCGUAAAGCGUGCGCAGGCGGUUUGCUAAGACCGAUGUGAAAUCCCCGGGCUCAACCUGGGAACUGCAUUUGAAACUGGCAAGCUAGAGUCUCGUAGAGGGGGGUAGAAUUCCAGGUGUAGCGGUGAAAUGCGUAGAGAUCUGGAGGAAUACCGGUGGCGAAGGCGGCCCCCUGGACGAAGACUGACGCUCAGGUGCGAAAGCGUGGGGAGCAAACAGGAUUAGAUACCCUGGUAGUCCACGCCCUAAACGAUGUCAACUGGUUGUUGGGAAGGUUCCUUCUCAGUAAACGUAGCUAACGCGUGAAGUUGACCGCCU
This 527-nucleotide ribosomal RNA is filed under the name uncultured bacterium. RNAcentral's name for it is "partial 16S ribosomal RNA". It matches the Rfam family "Bacterial small subunit ribosomal RNA", at positions 355 to 874 of the family's 1533-position model. The record is from RNAcentral.